AGUGAACGCUGGCGGCGUGCUUAACACAUGCAAGUCGAACGAGAACGGAUUAUAGCUUGCUAUAAUUGUCAGCUAAGUGGCGCACGGGUGAGUAAUGUAUAGGUAAUAUGCCUCUUACUAAGGGAUAACAAAUGGAAACGUUUGCUAAUACCUUAUACUCCUUAUUAACAUAAGUUAAUAAGGGAAAGAUUUAUUGGUAAGAGAUUAGCCUGUAUUGUAUCAGUUAGUUGGUGGGGUAAUUGCUUACCAAGACUAUGACACAUAACUGGUUUGAGAGGAUGAUCAGUCACACUGGAACUGAGACACGGUCCAGACUCCUACGGGAGGCAGCAGUGGGGAAUAUUGCACAAUGGACGGAAGUCUGAUGCAGCAACGCCGCGUGGAGGAUGACACAUUUCGGUGCGUAAACUCCUUUUAUAUGAGAAGAUAAUGACGGUAUUAUAUGAAUAAGCACCGGCUAACUCCGUGCCAGCAGCCGCCGCCG
This 484-nucleotide ribosomal RNA is filed under the name uncultured bacterium. Its description in RNAcentral is "partial 16S ribosomal RNA". It matches the Rfam family "Bacterial small subunit ribosomal RNA", at positions 29 to 523 of the family's 1533-position model. The record is from RNAcentral.